Molecule: ribosomal RNA, 654 nt
Filed under: Triticum aestivum (bread wheat)
Lineage: Eukaryota; Viridiplantae; Streptophyta; Magnoliopsida; Poales; Poaceae
Description: partial small subunit ribosomal RNA
Source: RNAcentral
AUGCUCGCCGACCUCUCCCGCUCCCAGGACGCGGCGGCCGGCGACGGCACCACCACCGUCGUCGUCAUCGCCGGGGCCCUGCUCCGCCGCGCGCAGUCGCUCCUCGCGGCCGGCGCCCACCCCACCGCCGCCGCCGACUCCCUCCACCGCCUCGCGGCCCGCGCCGUCCAGGUCCUCGAGGGCAUGGCCAUCCCCAUCGAGCUCACCGACCGGGACUCCCUCGUCAAAUCUGCCUCCACCGCGCUCAACUCCAAGGUCGUCUCCCAGUACUCCGGCCUCCUCGCCCCGCUCGCUGUUGACGCCGCCCUCUCCGUGGUCGAUCCCGCCCACCCGGAGCUUCUUGAUCUCCGUGACAUCCACAUCAUAAAGAAGCUCGGCGGCACCAUGGAUGACACCGAGCUCGUCCGCGGCCUUAUCUUUGACAAGAAGGCCAGCCAUGCUGCCGGGGGGCCAUCUAGGAUCGAGAAUGCCAAGAUUGCUGUCAUCCAGUUUCAGAUCUCACCGCCCAAGACUGAUAUUGAGCAGAGCGUCAUCGUGUCAGACUAUGCGCAGAUGGACCGCAUCCUCCGCGAGGAGCGCAAUUACAUCCUAGGGAUGGUAGAUCAAGACUUCUGGGUGCGAUGUCCUCCUCAUCCAGAAGAGCAUCUUGUGUGA